GACGAACGCUGGCGGCGUGCUUAACACAUGCAAGUCGAACGGAAAGGCCCUGCUUUUGUGGGGUGCUCGAGUGGCGAACGGGUGAGUAACACGUGAGUAACCUGCCCUUGACUUUGGGAUAACUUCAGGAAACUGGGGCUAAUACCGGAUAGGAGCUCCUGCUGCAUGGUGGGGGUUGGAAAGUUUCGGCGGUUGGGGAUGGACUCGCGGCUUAUCAGCUUGUUGGUGGGGUAGUGGCUUACCAAGGCUUUGACGGGUAGCCGGCCUGAGAGGGUGACCGGCCGCAUUGGGACUGAGAUACGGCCCAGACUACUACGGGAGGCAGCAGUGGGGAAUAUUGCACAAUGGGAGGAAGCCUGAUGCAGCAACGCCGCGUGCGGGAUGACGGCCUUCGGGUUGUAAACCGCUUUCGCCUGUGACGAAGCGUGAGUGACGGUAAUGGGUAAAGAAGCACCGGCUAACUACGUG
RNAcentral lists this ribosomal RNA (468 nucleotides) under uncultured bacterium. RNAcentral describes it as "partial 16S ribosomal RNA". It matches the Rfam family "Bacterial small subunit ribosomal RNA", at positions 28 to 507 of the family's 1533-position model. The record is from RNAcentral.